GCUUGCCAGAAAGCAGGGUUAUGGAGGAAUUACUGGGGGGAAGCCAGCAUGAGCUCAAAGUCCACGACCUUAGCUUCAGGAGCUCCUUCUUAUGUUUUGUUCUUCACUUCAUGACCUUAAUCUUGGCAGAGGCUGUGAUUGGAUACAACAAUUUCAGAGUUCUUGAUCAUGGAAGUAGAACACCACUUCUGGUUGAUGGGAGAAUCACUUCUCAUCUACUUAGCUGAAAGAAUGAAGAUUUCGGUUUGGAGGAGAGCCGAUUUCUUUAAAAAAAAAGUCAGUUGCUUCAGGCAACAGUCCUUUUGAUCUGCUCAUUAACACUUUUCAAAUGUUCGAGUGAUGUGGGCAUUCUUUGUGCUAGAAAAUGUCAGCACUCGAGCCUGGAGCCAGCUUGAUGCAAUCAUAUGUUCUGAUAUUGGUAGAAGAGUGAAAAGAACUGUCAACAGUGAACUGCCUUGGAGGGAAAAAAAAAAUAAAGAUACUCUACAAGGAUUGCAGAUGAAGUAGAAUUUCAGAAUUGAUUCUUGCCAGUAACUGAAAAGACUGCCCAAGCCAUCAGCAAGUGUCAUAAGCCAAUAAAACAGCUAUCUCUGCAUGCACAUAAAAUUGUUAAAAAAUAUUUCCUCCCUUUUUUCUUUUCUUUUU
Molecule: non-coding RNA, 645 nt
Organism: Phascolarctos cinereus (koala)
Lineage: Eukaryota; Metazoa; Chordata; Mammalia; Diprotodontia; Phascolarctidae
Source: RefSeq, a predicted model, not a curated record